CAGGGGUUGGUGCUGGGACUGGUCUUCUUCGACAUAUUCAUCAGUGACUUGGAUGAAGGGAUAGAGUCCACCCUCAGCAAGUUUGCUGACAAUAGAGAGCUGGAAAGAGUGACUGACACACCAGAAAAUUGUGCUGCCAUUCAGCAGCCCUGCAGAAAACGGCUUGGUCGUACUGGUGGAUGGCAAGCUGGACAUAAGUCAGCAGUGUGCCCUUGUAGUCCAGAAAGCCAACCAUAUCCUAGGCUACAUCAACAGAACUGUGGCCAGCAGGGUAAGGGUGUGUAUUUGAAGCAUCUAACUUUCUUCCUCAGAGAAAAAAAUAUUUAUAUAGAAACAAAACAAAACAACAAAAAAAAGUAGAUCCUCUAAAAAAAAUCAAUAGUUUAAAUAAAGUAAACAGUAUUUCUUUUUACUGAAGACACUUGGGGAGAGAACAAACAACAAAACAAACAAAGUCAUGGACAACUUAUUAUUUGUGCCAGUCCUACUCCCACCCUAUUAAUGCACCUCAUUUAUGCUUUUUCUGGGUGGUUGAUUAUGUUCCAGCUUGGGAUGACAAACAAAUUUGUUGUAAACUGUCAGGAAAAAUUAGUCUUUUGCAGUUACUGAAUAAAAUCAUUAUCAAAAAUAUAAAAAUAAAAUUGAAAGCUCAAUCAUAAUGAAUAGUAAGAAUUUCUAUUAAAACGCAAGGUUCGUUUUACAUUUUAUUGAUCUUCAUUUCUUUGCUAACAGUAUAAAGAAAAAAAAAUCUGUUUCUGUGUUGAUGAAGGAAUGUUUCUUCAUCAUGAGUAGCUAAAGUUACUCCCGGAGAAACCAACCUAUGCUCUCAAGAUAUACAUAAAUGGUGUCAUCUUCUUUAGGUAUUCCAUACUUAGUAUAUGGGAAUUGCUAAGUCACAGCCUGAACCAGUGAUUGAGCACCUGGUGAAGGGACAUAGCCAGCCCUAGGAGCACAGGUAAAAGCAGUUCACCUGUACAACUGGAAGGAGUGAGAUCAGGUUCUUCCCCUCCCUAAGGCUGAGCUGAGACAAGGGUAGGGUCUCGAGCUGGAGAUCCCUCCUUUUGGAAUAUUUAGUGAGUGUUGAUUCUUGGGACAGCAGAUUGACUACAGGGCUCCCGAGAUCCCUUCCAAAAGGAAUUGCCCUUCUGAGAAGUCUCAUAGGAUCAAGAUGGACAGCAUUUGAAGAUCAAAUUUCAUGGAGGACUUCACAAAUAGUUCUACAAGAUGGACAUUUACCAAUUUCACUGAUUUACUACAAUGAAACCUUGAAGAGUGCAAUUACAGGAUCUUUAUUUGGUGGAUGUGGAGGAACCACACUAAGUGAUUUGUCUAAUCAUACAAUUGGAAUGUCUUAUCCUUCAGAUGGCAUUAUGCUGUUUAAUGUUCUUCACACAGCAUCACAGGAAUGAUAGCUUCCAUGGCACAAGAGGAAGUCAGAAAAGGAAGUCAAGAGACCAGCAAGCAUGAUCCAGGACCUGCUUGUGAAACAGGAGAGCAAGUAGAAAAUGCACAGUCAGUGGAAGAGAGCAGAUACCUUGAUACCUCGGGAGAAAUAUAUGGAUGGUGCUAGGCUGUGUAGAGAUGGAGUUAGUGGCCAUUUCAAGAGUUCCACGUCCUUCCUGUACUGGGGGCCUCAGGCCUGGAUGCAGUACUUCAGAUGGGGCCUCACAAGAGCCGAGUAGAGGGGGACAAUCACCUCCCUCUCCCUGCUGCCCACCCCUUUCUUAAUGCAGCCCAGAACACAGUUGGCCUUUCAGGCUGCAAGAGCACACUGCUGGCUCAUGCCCAGCUUCUCAUCCACCAGGACCCCCAAGUCUUUCUCCGCAGGGCUGCUCUCAAGAAGAUCUUCUCCCAGUUUGUAUAAGUACUUGGGAUUGCCCUGACCCAAGUGCAGCACCCUGCAUUUAAGGUAUUUUUUUCACUGUAAAAAUAUGGUCCUUUUCUGUAGUAAUAAGUUGAUCAUAAUCACUGUCUAGCGACUCAAUUUAACGUGGCCUGACCUUUCCUCAUCUUUCAGGAUGUGAUUAGUCUUUUGCUACCUUUUUGUAUUUCACAUAUCCUGCUUAACAAAGAUGAGCAAAUGUUGUCUGUGUUACUGGAUGGCUCCUUUUCCACAUACAGAAAGGCUCAGAGGAAAUGUCAUACCAUCACUCAGCUCCCCUGCCAAAACAAAACAAACAACAAAACUGUGAGAUGUGUUCUGAGAUAUAUGAAAAAGUAUAUCAGGAAAAUCAGCAGAAUAUGCAAGGAAUAUAUUUACUAGAGGGAGAUGAAACUUCUUCAUGCAUUGUAUUUUCACCUUAUUUAGUUCAUCUAUUUUUAAUAUCAAAAAGGAAGACUAAAGAAUUGUGUAAGGUCUCUUUCAUCUGUUCUUGUUCUGCAAAGCACAGAGAUAAGCAUGAAUCGACAAUGAAAUAAGCAUUUCAAAAUAUGUCUUGUUACUUCCAUGUAGUGAAGGAGGCAUACUCACUUAAUCAGAAGUAUUGCAACCACAUGGAUGAAUAGUAACAAUCUGUACUGCAGCAGCUAUGCGACAGAAUCUACUUUCUUUCACAGCAAAGUAGGACUAUAUUGAUUUGUCCACCUCUAAGUCAAAAGACUGUUUCCCAGUAAGACCUUCUCUUUCUUCAGAGUUCAGUGUGGGUCUCAAAAAUGUUCUUGAUUAAAGCCAGAAUCAAACAUGCUAAUACUUCAGGUUGGAAAUAAAUACUUCCUUUUUUUCCUCUCUAAAAGGUGUUAAAAAGACUUUUGCAAAUGCUUGAGCUUAAAGCCUACGCUCACUGCUUAUGUUUGCACCUUCAACCAAAGGACUCUACAAAGUCCAGGAAUUUACAGUAGUUCAAAAAGCAAUUGACAGAGUACAACAUCUUAAAAAGAAAAGGAACUACCUUUGAUUCAAUAAUAGUUGAGCUACAAAUCGCUGGUUGCUGGCUGAGUAAUGUAGGGCAGUACAUCAUUAGGCACUUGUUCUGAUCUCACACAUUUCCCUUGACAUCUGCUAUUAGCCAAAGGAUACAGGCUAGAUAAUGAUUUGUCUGACUUGCAACUGUUGAUCUUAUGUUCUUAUUUUCUGAAGUCUGCUUCCUGAAAGCUAAGCCAUCAGGCAAGUCCCUAGAGGGUAUGCAUGAUAUUUUUGAAAAUAAGCUAUUCUAGAAAGCCUAGUCUGGAAGAAAGAAAAUCCACGUCUGUAUGAAUCCUUUGUUUUUGGCUCAAAG
This is a long non-coding RNA of Gallus gallus (chicken), 3215 nucleotides long. The record is from Ensembl. NCBI's taxonomy places the organism in Eukaryota, Metazoa, Chordata, Aves, Galliformes, Phasianidae.